RNAcentral lists this ribosomal RNA (1194 nucleotides) under uncultured bacterium. RNAcentral's name for it is "bacterial SSU rRNA". It matches the Rfam family "Bacterial small subunit ribosomal RNA", at positions 213 to 1399 of the family's 1533-position model. The record is from RNAcentral.
UAUCGCUUCAAGAUGGCCUCGCGUCUGAUUAGCUGGUUGGCGGGGUAACGGCCCACCAAGGCGACGAUCAGUAGCCGGACUGAGAGGUUGAACGGCCACAUUGGAACUGAGACACGGUCCAGACUCCUACGGGAGGCAGCAGUGGGGAAUCUUCCGCAAUGGACGAAAGUCUGACGGAGCAACGCCGCGUGAACGAUGAAGGUCUUCGGAUUGUAAAGUUCUGUGAUCCGGGACGAAGGCAUUGACUGAGAACAUUGAUUGAUGUUGACGGUACCGGAAAAGCAAGCCACGGCUAACUACGUGCCAGCAGCCGCGGUAAUACGUAGGUGGCAAGCGUUGUCCGGAAUUAUUGGGCGUAAAGCGCGCGCAGGCGGCCGUGCAAGUCCUUCUUAAAAGCGUGGGGCUUAACCCCAUGAGGGGAUGGAAACUGCAGGGCUGGAGUGUCGGAGGGGAAAGUGGAAUUCCUAGUGUAGCGGUGAAAUGCGUAGAGAUUAGGAAGAACACCGGUGGCGAAGGCGACUUUCUAGACGACAACUGACGCUGAGGCGCGAAAGCGUGGGGAGCAGACAGGAUUAGAUACCCUGGUAGUCCACGCCGUAAACGAUGAGCACUAGGUGUCGGGGUCGCAAGACUUCGGUGCCGGAGUUAACGCAUUAAGUGCUCCGCCUGGGGAGUACGCACGCAAGUGUAAAACUCAAAGGAAUUGACGGGGACCCGCACAAGCAGCGGAGCAUGUGGUUUAAUUCGAUGCAACGCGAAGAACCUUACCAGGCCUUGACAUGGGGAGGAAGCCGGUGGAGACACUGGUGCCGGUUUACCGGCCUCCUACACAGGUGGUGCAUGGUUGUCGUCAGCUCGUGUCGUGAGAUGUUGGGUUAAGUCCCGCAACGAGCGCAACCCUCAUUCCUGGUUGCCAGCGGUAGAAGCCGGGCACUCCAGGGAGACCGCCGCAGCCAAUGCGGAGGAAGGCGGGGACGACGUCAAAUCAUCAUGCCCCUUACGGCCUGGGCGACACACGUGCUACAAUGGCCGGUCCAGAGGGAAGCGACAGGGCGACCUUGAGCCAAUCCCAAAAAGCCGGUCCCAGUUCGGAUUGCAGGCUGCAACCCGCCUGCAUGAAGUCGGAGUUGCUAGUAAUCGCGGAUCAGCAUGCCGCGGUGAAUGCGUUCCCGGGUCUUGCACUCACGCCCGUCA